RNAcentral lists this ribosomal RNA (373 nucleotides) under uncultured organism. RNAcentral's name for it is "bacterial SSU rRNA". It matches the Rfam family "Bacterial small subunit ribosomal RNA", at positions 526 to 896 of the family's 1533-position model. The record is from RNAcentral.
CGAAGGGUGCAAGCGUUACUCGGAAUUACUGGGCGUAAAGCGUGCGUAGGUGGUGCGUUAAGUCUGUCGUGAAAGCCCCGGGCUCAACCUGGGAAUGGCGAUGGAUACUGGCGCGCUAGAGUGCGGUAGAGGAGAGUGGAAUUCCCGGUGUAGCAGUGAAAUGCGUAGAGAUCGGGAGGAACAUCAGUUGCGAAGGCGGCUCUCUGGACCAGCACUGACACUGAGGCACGAAAGCGUGGGGGAGCAAACAGGAUUAGAUACCCUGGUAGUCCACGCCCUAAACGAUGCGAACUGGACGUUGGGAGCAAUUAGGCUCUCAGUGUCGAAGCUAACGCGUUAAGUUCGCCGCCUGGGGAGUACGGUCGCAAGACUG